Long non-coding RNA from Selaginella moellendorffii, 317 nucleotides. RefSeq lists it as uncharacterized. NCBI's taxonomy places the organism in Eukaryota, Viridiplantae, Streptophyta, Lycopodiopsida, Selaginellales, Selaginellaceae. The record is from RefSeq and is a predicted model, not a curated record. The transcript is spliced from 2 exons.
UUUCUGGGCAAUCGACUCAAGCUAGGCAGCGGUCCUAACUAGAGAGGCGAUGAAUCGCUUGGGCACAGCGACAAGUGUCUCGGGCGAGCUAGGACCGCAUAUGGAACUGGAAGACAAGAAGUCUCGGAUUGCACAGAUUUGGUUCGUAGGCCCCUACCCAUGAACAAGGCAAGCUUCGAAGUUUUCGCUGUGACUCGAUCUACAGGGUGUUCCAAUCCGAGGCUAUUGCGAGAAUUGGGUGUGGGCUGAUGGUUAUGGUUUGGAUCCAAAGUUUGGAUUAAUUGCGAAACAAUCUUGUGCACCCUCGUUUAGAGGUC